This 497-nucleotide ribosomal RNA is filed under the name uncultured bacterium. RNAcentral describes it as "partial 16S ribosomal RNA". It matches the Rfam family "Bacterial small subunit ribosomal RNA", at positions 28 to 507 of the family's 1533-position model. The record is from RNAcentral.
GAUGAACGCUGGCGGCGUGCCUAAUACAUGCAAGUCGAGCGAACAGACGAGGAGCUUGCUCCUCUGACGUUAGCGGCGGACGGGUGAGUAACACGUGGAUAACCUACCUAUAAGACUGGGAUAACUUCGGGAAACCGGAGCUAAUACCGGAUAAUAUAUUGAACCGCAUGGUUCAAUAGUGAAAGACGGUUUUGCUGUCACUUAUAGAUGGAUCCGCGCCGCAUUAGCUAGUUGGUAAGGUAACGGCUUACCAAGGCAACGAUGCGUAGCCGACCUGAGAGGGUGAUCGGCCACACGGGAACUGAGACACGGUCCAGACUCCUACGGAAGGCAGCAGUAGGGAAUCUUCGGCAAUGGGCGAAAGCCUGACGGAGCAACGCCGCGUGAGUGAGGAAGGUCUUCGGAUCGUAAAACUCUGUUAUUAGGGAAGAACAAAUGUGUAAGUAACUAUGCACGUCUUGACGGUACCUAAUCAGAAAGCCACGGCUAACUACGUG